GUGAACGCUGGCGGUAGGCCUAACACAUGCAAGUCGAACGGCAGCACAGUAAGUGCUUGCUCUUACGGGUGGCGAGUGGCGGACGGGUGAGGAAUACAUCGGAAUCUACUUUUUCGUGGGGGAUAACGUAGGGAAACUUACGCUAAUACCGCAUACGACCUACGGGUGAAAGCAGGGGAUCUUCGGACCUUGCGCGAUUGAAUGAGCCGAUUUCGGAUUAGCUAGUUGUCGGGGUAAAGGCCCACCAAGGCGACGAUCCGUAGCUGGUAUGAGGGGAUGAACAGCCACACUGGAACUGAGACACGGUCCAGACUCCUACGGGAGGCAGCAGUGGGGAAUAUUGGACAAUGGAGGCAAGCCUAAUCCAGCCAUACCGCGUGGGUGAAGAAGGACUUCGGGUUGUAAGGCCCUUUUGUUGGGAAAGAAAAGCAGCAGGUUAAUACCCCGCUGUUCUGACGGUACCCAAAGAAUAAGCACCGGCUAACUUCGUG
Molecule: ribosomal RNA, 491 nt
Filed under: uncultured bacterium
Lineage: Bacteria
Description: partial 16S ribosomal RNA
Rfam family: Bacterial small subunit ribosomal RNA
Source: RNAcentral